RNAcentral lists this ribosomal RNA (484 nucleotides) under uncultured bacterium. RNAcentral's name for it is "partial 16S ribosomal RNA". It matches the Rfam family "Bacterial small subunit ribosomal RNA", at positions 30 to 507 of the family's 1533-position model. The record is from RNAcentral.
AUUGAACGCUGGCGGCAUGCCUAACACAUGCAAGUCGAGCGGAUGAAGGGAGCUUGCUCCUGGAUUCAGCGGCGGACGGGUGAGUAAUGCCUAGGAAUCUUCCUGUUAGUAGGGGAUAACGUCCGGAAACGGGCGCUAAUACCGCAUACGUCCUGAGGGAGAAAGUGGGGGAUCUUCGGACCUCACGCUAUCAGAUGAGCCUAGGUCGGAUUAGCUAGUUGGUGGGGUAAAGGCCUACCAAGGCGACGAUCCGUAACUGGUCUGAGAGGAUGAUCAGUCACACUGGAAGUGAGACACGGUACAGACUCCUACGGGAGGCAGAAGUGGGGAAUAUUGGACGAUGGGCGAAAGACUGAUCAAGCCAUGCCGCGUGUGUGAAGAAGGUCUUCGGAUUGUAAAGCACUUUAAGUUGGGAGGAAGGGCAGUAAGUUAAUACCUUGCUGUUUUGACGGUACCAACAGAAUAAGCACCGGCUAACUUCGUG